This 440-nucleotide ribosomal RNA is filed under the name uncultured bacterium. RNAcentral's name for it is "partial 16S ribosomal RNA". It matches the Rfam family "Bacterial small subunit ribosomal RNA", at positions 338 to 795 of the family's 1533-position model. The record is from RNAcentral.
CCUACGGGUGGCAGCAGUGGGGGAUAUUGCGCAAUGGGGGAAACCCUGAUGCAGCGACGCCGCGUGGGUGAAGAAGCGCCUCGGCGCGUAAACCCCUUUCAGCAGGGAAGAAAAUGACGGUGCCUGAAGAAGAAGCCCCGGCUAACUACGUGCCAGCAGCCGCGGUAAUACUUAGGGGGCAAGCGUUAUCCGGAUUUACUGUGUGGAAAGGGGGCGCAGACGGUGAUGCAAGCCAGGAGUGAAAGCCCGGGGCCCAACCCCGGGACUGCUCUUGGAACUGCGUUGCUAGAGUGCAGGAGGGGCAGGCGGAAUUCCUGGUGUAGCGGUGAAAUGCGUAGAUAUCAGGAGGAACACCAGUGGCGAAGGCGGCCUGCUGGACUGCAACUGACGUUGAGGCCCGAAAGCGUGGGGAGCAAACAGGAUUAGAUACCCGGGUAGUC